UCUUGGUCAUUUAGAGGAAGUAAAAGUCGUAACAAGGUUUCCGUAGGUGAACCUGCGGAAGGAUCAUUACCGAGUGAGGGCCCUCUGGGUCCAACCUCCCACCCGUGUUUAUUUUACCUUGUUGCUUCGGCGGGCCCGCCUUAACUGGCCGCCGGGGGGCUUACGCCCCCGGGCCCGCGCCCGCCGAAGACACCCUCGAACUCUGUCUGAAGAUUGUAGUCUGAGUGAAAAUAUAAAUUAUUUAAAACUUUCAACAACGGAUCUCUUGGUUCCGGCAUCGAUGAAGAACGCAGCGAAAUGCGAUACGUAAUGUGAAUUGCAAAUUCAGUGAAUCAUCGAGUCUUUGAACGCACAUUGCGCCCCCUGGUAUUCCGGGGGGCAUGCCUGUCCGAGCGUCAUUUCUGCCCUCAAGCACGGCUUGUGUGUUGGGCCCCGUCCUCCGAUCCCGGGGGACGGGCCCGAAAGGCAGCGGCGGCACCGCGUCCGGUCCUCGAGCGUAUGGGGCUUUGUCACCCGCUCUGUAGGCCCGGCCGGCGCUUGCCGAUCAACCCAAAUUUUUAUCCAGGUGACCUCGGAUCAGGUAGGAU
RNAcentral lists this ribosomal RNA (587 nucleotides) under Penicillium sp. DNA25. RNAcentral describes it as "eukaryotic LSU rRNA". The stretch from base 246 to 398 matches the Rfam family "5.8S ribosomal RNA". Lineage: Eukaryota; Fungi; Ascomycota; Eurotiomycetes; Eurotiales; Aspergillaceae. The record is from RNAcentral.